AAAGUGUACAUAGAUUGCAGGAGUAAAAAAACAUAAUGUGUGGUGACACACUGUCUAUUCCAUAAGCUCUAUUUUGGGACAAGUAAAAUAUGCCACCUGUUCCCUCUCUUCUGGGUCCUUGGCAGGUUAUUUCCAGUUCACAGGCUGUCCUAGAUCAGUAUCAUUCAAAACUUUCUGGGAGCUGUUGCAGAAAUAUCUAGUAAAAAAUCUCUGGCCAUUUUACUUUGCUCAAACCUUUAUUAGAGUAAGAGACUUUCUGGCACUUUUGGGAUUUGCCAUGGCUGAAGCUGCUUGUGCGGAGGACCAGUGGGUGGUAGAAGCUACUGAGGAUGAAUUUGGCGAAAUCAUUAAAACAAGAUCAGAUGAAAGAGAAGACAUACAAAAGAAAACCUUUACAAAGUGGAUAAAUUCUCAAUUUGCUAAGGCAGGAAAACCCCCUAUUGAUGACCUCUUCACAGACUUGUGUGAUGGCCGCCGUCUUCUGGAACUUUUGGAAUGCUUGACUGGGCAUGAAUUAGUGAAGGAGCGUGGUUUCACCCGUGUGCACUCACUCAAUAAUGUCAACAGAGUGCUGCAGAUCCUUCAGAAGAACAAUGUUGAGCUGGUGAAUAUUGGAGGAGCUGACAUUGUUGAUGGCAAUCAUAAAUUGACUUUAGGUCUCAUCUGGAGCAUAAUUGUUCACUGGCAGGUGAAAGAUGUGAUGAAAGAUGUGAUGGCAGACUUGAAGCAAACCAGCAGUGAGAAGAUAUUGUUGAGUUGGGUUAGGCAGUCCACCAAGAGCUACCCACUGGUCAAUGUUGUAAACUUCACUAGCAGCUGGGAAGAUGGUCUGGCCUUUAAUGCUCUGAUCCAUAGCCACAGGCCGGAGUUGUUUGAUUGGGAUGUGGUGGAAGAGAUGGAUAAAGCAUUUGACCGGUUGGAUCAUGCGUUCACCAUUUCUGAAAGGCAUUUGGGCAUUGAACGGCUGCUUGACCCUGAGGAUGUUGCUACUGCUACUCCAGAUAAGAAGUCUAUAAUUAUGUACCUCACAUCAUUGUUUCAAGUUCUGCCCCAUGGUGUGAGUAAGGAGGCUAUAGAGGAAGUUGAGUCUCUCCCGCAAGCUAAAAUCUCUAAAGAGAAACAUUUCCACCUUCAAACACAACAACGUUAUUCCCAGCAGAUCACAGUCAGUGUGGCUCAUAGUCAAGUACGCAGCCAGUCUCCAUCAAACAAGUUACGCUACAAAAGCUAUGCCUUCACUCAGGCUGCAUAUGUUCGAUCUCCUGGGCAGACAAGAAAGACCCCCGUCACAGUGUCUUCAGAAAGUCCAGACGAUAUGUGGCCGUCCCCGGGACCUCUUCAACAUGGCACAAACCAGCUAGAGAGUUAUCAGAACUCCCUAGAAGAGGUCUUGACAUGGCUUCUGUCUGCUGAGGAUGGCCUGCAAGGUCAGCCACCCAUCUCAUCGUCUGCAGAUGAAGUGAAGGAGCAGUUUCACACUUAUGAGGGAUACAUGAUUGAGCUGACUGCUCAUCAGGGAAGUGUGGGUAACGUGUUAAAGGCAGGGAGCAUCCUCUUGGCUGAAGGACAGCUGACUGAAGAUGAGGAGAAUGAAAUUCGGGAGCAGAUGAAUUUGUUAAACUCUCGCUGGGAACAUUUACGUGUGGCCAGUAUGGAACGACAAAGCAGGCUUCAUGGAGUUUUAAUGGACCUUCAGAAUCAGCAGCUCAAACAGCUCUCCACCUGGUUAGAUGUUACUGAAGCUCGAAUUAAGCAAAUAGAAGCCCAGCCUUUAGGUCCAGAAAUUGAACAUCUGAAACAUCAAAUUGAAGAGCACAAGCUGUUACAAGAGGAUCUGGAAAUGGAGCAGGUGCAAGUGAACUCUCUGACUCACAUGGUUGUAGUAGUAGAUGAAAAGAGUGGAGACAACGCCACUGCAGCACUGGAGGAGAAACUACAGAACCUUGGAGAGCGAUGGGCUGCUAUCUGUAAAUGGACAGAGGACCGGUGGCUCCUCCUUCAGAGGAUCCUGAAGACUUGGCAGCAUUUCACUGAGGAACAGCAUAUGUUUGAAUCCUGGCUAACACAGAAAGAGCAGUUAUUGCUUUCUAUCCAAAGCAGUGGUACCACUGAUCACAGUGAAGUGGCAGCUAAUCUCAGAAAGCUUACUAUUCUGAAAGCAGACAUUGAGCUCAAAAGACAGACCAUGGACAAACUUUGCUCCCUUAUUCAAGAUCUGUUAUCCAACAUAAGGAAUAAACAGGCUUCAGAAAAACUUGAAGCAAAGUUAGAAACGUUCACUGAGCGAUGGGACAAACUAGUACAGUCACUUCAGCUCACUAGCACCAAGCUUUCAACCACUGUUACUACAUACCAGGUUGAAACUACACACAAAACUGUGGAAGCCAGCAUUCCCCUGCAUCAGAAAAAAGUGGUGAAGCAUGUUAAAGAGGGUCUGACUACUCCUCCACCUCAAAAAAAGCGUCAGAUUGUUGUUGACUCAGAGCUUCGCAAGAGGUUUGAUGUGGAUUUUACUGAGAUUCACAGUUUCAUGACACGCUCAGAAGCCAUCUUGCAGAGUCCUGAAUUCUCAGUUUCACGCAAAGAGGGCAGUGUUGCAGACCUCUAUGAGAAAGUCUUGGCAAUUGAUAAGGAAAAACCAGAGAAGCUUAGAAAGCUACAGGAAGCAACCCGGUCAGCUCAGGCCCUGGUAGAUCAGCUCACAAGUGAUGGGCAGAAUUCUGAUGAUAUUCAACAAGCUGCUCAGCAGUUACAUGCCCGGUGGGUUGAGUUUUGUUCUCUACUGGCUGAGAGGCUAGCAUGGCUGGCCUACCAGACUAAAGUCCUGGCUUUCUACAAUCUCUUCCAUAACUUGGAGCAGCUCGUAGCAAAUUCAGAGAACUGGCUGAAAAUUCAGCAACCCCCAGCAUGUGAACUAGAGCCACUGAGGAUCCAGCUUGAGCGCUGCAGGGAUGAGAUAGCUCGUCUAUCUGUGCUUGAACCAGAAGUAGAGCACUUACAUGAUCAACUUGUGGAGCUAAAAGAGAAAGAGGAAACACAAGUGUUAUUUGAUGCUGAUAUAGCUGCAUUCCAGGUCCACUACCAGAAUGUUCUUGCAGACUUAAAGGCCAGAGAGAAACAACUUGUAUUAGUCCAGACUAGCCUUCCACCCACACGCUACAAGGAAGUAAUGGCAACUCUAAUGGUUUGGCUGCAACAAAUUGAAGACAAACUACCUUCUACAGCUGUAACCGAGUACCCAGUCAUGGAUCAGAGGCUGAAAGACACUAUGGCAGUUCAAGCUGAGCAACAAGAGCACCAGAGUAAAAAAGACGAUCUCAAUAAGAUGGCUGAACAGGUGUACCAGAAAGCUCCCCCUGAGAUAUCGCAAAGAUAUCACACUGAGAUGGACAGUAUGAUGGCCUGUUGGAGACAUUUGUGUGAACAACUGAAAGAAAACAUACAAAAAUUGCAGGACCACAUUACUAAGCUGCAGCAGUUUCAGAAUGACACAAAGACCCUGCAGAAAUGGAUGAGUGAGGUUGAUGUGUUUUUGAAUGAGGAAUGGCCAGCCUUAGGAGAUUCAGAAGCUCUUGAGAAGCAACUUGAACAGUGCACGGCCUUAGUUAAUGACAUUCAUACUGUCCAACCUAGCCUUAAUGGCAUCAAUGAGGUUGGACAGGCCCUGAAGAAGGAAGCAGAGCCGCAAUUUGCUGUCAAAAUACAGAAGCUGCUUGAUGACCUCAAUUCUCAGUGGGAAUUAAUUUGCAAACAGGCAUAUGCAAAAAGAUCUGCCUUGAAAGGUGGACUGGAUAUGACAGUGAGUUUAAAGAAGGAGAUGCAAGAGAUGCAAGAGUGGAUUACACAAGCAGAAGAAGAUUACCUAGAGAGUGAUUUUCAUUAUAAAACACCUGAAGAACUCCAUAUAGCAGUGGAUGAUCUUAAGAGAGCACAAGAAGAAAUCCAUCAGAAAGAAAUAAAAGUAAAACAUCUGGAAGAUAAAGUUACCAAUUUUAUUGAGAAGGCUCCACCCACAGCCCAUGAGGCCCUAAAGGAAGAACUAAAUGUUUUAACUACCAACUACCAGCGGCUGUGUAAUCGACUUGAUGGGAAGUACAAGACAUUAGAGGAGGUGUGGGCUUGCUGGUGUGAAUUGCUUUGUUAUUUGGAACAUGAAAAUGCUUGGAUGGAUCUACUAGAACAAAAACUUAAUGAGGUGGAGAACUUUCAAGGAGGAGCAGACAAAAUUGCUGAGGCUGUGGAUUCUUUAGAUACCAUGAUCAAACAACAUCCUGAACACAAUCGUAAUCAAAUCCAUGAGUUGGCCCAGACACUUAUGGAUGGAAGAGUCCUUGAUGAGCUCAUUCAUAAGAAGGUGGAAGAUUACAACAUUCGCUGGGAUGAACUUAUGCAAAGGGCUUUGCAAAGGCGACAAGAGCUAGAGAAAAGCUUACAGUGGGUGAACAAGAGUGACAAAACUCUGCGUCUAAUACAAGAUUCUCUAAAGGCAACUGAUCGACAUUUGAAUGCAUAUCUUACAGAUGGUAUAGAUGCUGCUCAGAUACCUCAGGAAGCUCAGAAAAUUCAAACUGAACUGAGUGGUCAUGAAGGAACUCUAGAUGGUAUGAAGAAAAGUUGCAGUGAAGAUGCAUCAGAAAAAAUGGUCACUGAGAUUGAUGCUACAUAUGCUAAAUUAUUGGAGGUGAAAGCAAAGUUUCGACUUUUUCAAAAGCCAGCCAACUUCGACCAGAGGUUGAAAGAAUGUGAACGUGUAUUGGAAGAAGUGAAGGGUGAACUUGGGGUGCUGAGCAUCCACAGUGUAGAGCAGGAGGUGGUGCAAUCCCAGUUGGAGCAGUGCAUGAAGUUGUAUAAAAAUCUAAGUGAAGUGAAAUCAGAAGUGGAGAUGGUAAUUAAGACAGGAAGGCAAAUUGUGCAGAGACAGCAGACAGAGCAACCAAAAGAGCUGGACGAGCGUUUAACAAGUCUUAAACUUUUGUACAACGACUUGGGUUCACAGGUAACAGAGGGAAAGCAAGCCCUAGAAAAAAGUUUUAAGUUACUGAGAAAAUUUAAAAAAGACAUUAAAACUCUAACAGAAUGGUUAGCAGCUGUUGAUGGUGAACUGACUCGUCGGUCAUCGGUGGAAGGAAUGCCAAGUGACCUGGAAGCGCAGCUGACGUGGGCCAAGGCCACACAUAAGGAUACAGAGCAUCACACACCCCAACUCUGUUUAGUAAGAGAUUUAGCAGAAGCCCUAAAAGCACAUAUAACAGAGAAAAGCCUAAUAGAUGACAAAGUCAGCUUGUUGAACAGCAACUGGAUUGCUGUGACAUCACGCAGUGAACAGUGGCUCAAUUUGUUGCUGGAUUACCAGAGUCAGAUGAAUACAUUGGAAAAAAAUGUUGCUCUCAUAAAUGCCUGGAUAGAUGAAGCUGAGACUCAGUUAGACAAGCUGGAGAACCAGGGCUGCAUUAACCAUGUAAUCAAGAGUCUACAAGCAGAAUUGGAAGAAAUGCGUGGAAAAGUAGUUGAUGUCCAAAACCUUGGUGAAGACAUCAUUAAAACCAGAGGGGAGCACUGUAAAACUCAAAUAGAGCCCAAGCUGAAUCAGCUCAGUCAACGUUUUGAGAUGGUCACCAGAAGGAUUCUUCAUGGAGAGGCUUCCACUCAAGAAUUAGAAGAGUACCACAGGCAAGCUAAUAUGUGCCUAGUCCAGCUAGAAGAAGAGAUUAAACUGGGUGAAAACAUCAAAGAAGAUGAUUUCAUAGAAGAUGCAGUUGUUGAUGAAGAUGAAAUGAAGGACCUGUUCUUAAAAGGAGAAAAUCUGCUAAAGAGAACCACAGAUCCGGCAAAGACAGCUGUUGGUCAAAAACAUAAUCUACUUCAUGAUAAAUACAACACCCUGAAGAGCCUGAGAGCGCUUAGGAGGAAGAAGGCACUUGCUUUUGCCCCACAGUGGUACCAGUUCUGUAAGAGGUCAGAUGAUAUGAUGCAAUGGCUUGACAACAUUGAGAAGAUGCUGGCUGGACUGCCAGAUUCUGCAGCUCAACCAAGAGUAAAGAUUGCCAAUGAGAUUGAACAGCAGCGUCCAGUACUUGAAGAUGUGCGUCGAGUUGGUCAGAAGCUCUCAGAAGAUGGCUUUGUCAAACUGGUAGAACCACGCCUCAUUCCGAUUAAUAAACGCUGGGGACAGCUAGAUAUGAAAUUUGAAGGAUAUAAUGAAUUGCAAGCAUUGCUGCGUAUUAUUGAUGAAAAUGAUUCGCGACUGACCUCGUCUAUAUGGUGGUCUGACAUAACUGAAAAUAUGUCCAAGCAAGAAAAGUGCCUUAAGGAAGUAAAGCAUACUUUGGAAACUCUCGAAGCUCCAGUGAUGGCUUUAGAGAAGAAAAACAUACCUCCUCAUGAUAAUCCACUUGUUCAUCUCCUCAGUACCAAGUGGGAACAGCUGAAAAAGCUCUAUCAGAAUAGGCUAGGAUACUUUGACAAAUGCAAGAAAUAUGGGGACAUGUUAAAAAACAUCCACAGUUGGCUGACUGUUGCAGAAAAAACAUUAUUGAUGUAUGAAGAAAACCCAAACAACCACAGGAGCCACAUCAAGGAACUGCAGGAAGAUUUGGAAAAUCAAGAGGCAACAGUAAAAGCGCUUAACUCUCUAGGUGAGGACCUAGCCUUGCAGGACAGGAAGGAUAAUGGAGAAAAGAUUAAAAAUCAGCUAGAUGCCGUCAAUACCCGCUGGACUACAGUGUUCAGUCAGCUGUCUGAUAUAAAGAGAAGAUCUACGGGGGAAAAGAUUAUACUUACUGAGCUUCAUGAAGAUAUUGAAGAGUUUCAGUCUUGGCUAGAUAAAGCAGAGUGCAUUGCUGCCCUACCCAUAGAAUCAGACCACAGGGAACAGCUCAACAUGGCAUUAGGAAAAGUAAAGGCUGAAGUAACAGAAUUACCAGACAGAAUGAAAAUAUUACACAAAAUGAAUACAAAAGCUUCAUCUCUCUCUGAUGACAAAAACAAGAAUUUGGGGAACAGUUUCAAGAUUAUCAACUUGCGAUGGGCCAAGGUAUCAUCUAACCUUCCUGAGAAACAGCAACAGAUUGAGAAUCACUUGAGAGAUUUGGAUCUGUACCUCAAGCUCUCCAGCUGGGCCUCUGCAACUAAGAACCUACUUGAACAGUCACCUGAUGCAAUUGAACAUAAGACUGAUGAUAUCCAGUCCAAGAAGUCAGAAAUAGAAGCAGUUUUGGCAAAAGAGAGACCACUUUAUCAACCUGAAAGGGACCAGUUUGAUAGUCUCAGUGCAGACUGGAUGAACAUUCAAAUGCUGCUUAAGGAAUGGAAAAAUAAAUGUCAAGUAGCAACUGAAUACUUGACAAGCAGUGCCGCAGAUGUUUCAGCAAUGGACACAUUUAAUAAUUCAAGCACUGAACUUAAUGACUGGCUCUCUCUUCUCGAUCACAUGAUUACACAGCGGGUGAGAGUAGGAGAUCUCAGUGAUAUCAGUGAUCUUACUGUGAAACUCAAGUCAGUGGGGAAAGACAUGGAACAGAGACGCCCAUAUCUGAAUAAACAGGUCACUGCAUCGGAAAACCUCAAAAACAAAACCAGCAAUCCUCAGAUGCGUGCUACAAUUACAGAUCAAAUUGAGAAAUUGCAAGCACACUGGGAAGACUCACAUACCAAGCUAAUGGACAGGAUAAUUCAACUUCAGAACAUGUAUCAAGAUUCUAAGGAUUGGCUGGAUGCCAAGAAAUUGGUGGAGUCUCACAUAAACCAAGCCAAUGAAAAACUAGAAGGAUGGAAGGAAGUCUCUUUAAGUUCUGAUCUUGCAAAUGUUAAGAAAAUUGUUAAAGAUAUACGGCUGUGGCAAGCUGAAGUCGACAGGACUAAUGAACUGGCAAAUAAGCUACUGGUUGUUUAUGCAAAUGAUGACACAAGCAAGAUCAAACAGAUGACCGAGAAUAUGAAUCUUGCUUGGGGCAAUAUCAAAAAAGGUGCAGAGGAUACAGAGGCUGACCUAGAGGCCAGACUGCAGCAAAUGGAUCACUUUUAUGCAGACCUGGAGAGGUUUUUUAACUGGCUAACUGAAGCAGAAACUACAGCAAAUGUCUUACAAGAUGCUACAUACAAGGAAUGUCUUCCAGAAGAUCCAGCUGCAGUGCACCGCUUAGUAGAGCAAUGGCAAGAUCUGCAGAGAGAGAUUAAUACCCAGACAGAUGUGUAUCAUUCACUGGAUGAAAAUGGGCACCGUAUUGUGGCAUCACUGGGAAGGACAGACAAUGCAAUAGUGCUGCAAAAACAACUUUACAACAUGGGAAAACGCUGGCAAGAAUUAUGUAAAAAAGUCAACAAUAUGAGGCCUCACCUGGAUGAUAGUAUGGAAGAGUGGAAACAUUUUCACCUAUCCUUACAGGGCCUACUCCAGUGGCUACAGCUUAAGAGAGAGGAGCUGGAGCAACAGAAACCAGUUGGGGGGGAUAUCCCUACUGUUCGCCAGCAACUGAUCACCCAUAAGGACUUCAGGAGGGAGCUGAGUGCAAAAGAACCUUCAAUAAAUGGAGCACUUGAUAAUGUGAAAAGUGUUUUAAUUGAAAUGCCUGGUGAAGAAUGGAAACAGACUCCUGUUAAAAGAGUUGUCAGCUCUGAGGAAAGAAUUCAAAAUGUGGAACGCAUUUUACGUAAGGAAGCAGAGGAUGUAAGCAAACUAUGGAAGAACCUUGGUACAGCUGCAGAAGACUGGCAACAGCAGUUGGAGCUAGCUUUGGAGAGACUGCUGGGACUUCAAGAUUCAGAAGAUCGAUUAGAGUUUAAGCUUCAACAAGCUGAAAUUCAAAACAAUUCUUGGACACCAGUUGGAGACUUGCUUAUUGACAGUUUAAAUGACCAAAUCAACAUGGUUAAGGGAUUCAAGGAGAUGAUAGCACCAAUCCAGGAUGAUGUAAAUCAAGUGAACAAGUUGGCUUCUCAGUUUAAAAUUCCUGGUAUUCAACUUUCUCCAGAAAACCUAAAGAGAAAUGAUGAUCUCAAUAGACGAUGGAGACUUCUUCAGAUAUCAGUUGAAGAACAUCUGUCCCAGCUUAUUGAGGCCCACAGAGAUUUAGGACCCAAUUCUCAGCAUUUUCUACAAGUGUCUGUGCAAAGUCCUUUUGAACGCUCUGUUUCUCAAAACAGUGUUCCUUAUUAUAUAAACCACCAAACACAAACAACAUGUUGGGACCAUCCAAAAAUGACUGAGUUGUACCAGUCCUUAGCGGAUCUCAACAAUGUAAGAUUUUCAGCAUACAGAACAGCAAUGAAGUUACGGAGGCUGCAGAAAGCUCUGUGCUUGGACCUACUGGGGAUGUCAACAGCAUGUGAAGCCUUUGAACAGCACAGCCUGAAACAAAAUGAGCAGUUCAUAGACAUUAUACAGGUGAUAAGCUGUCUGACAAGUAUCUAUGACCGUCUGGAGCAGCAGCAUAGCAGCCUUGUGAACGUUCCUCUGUGUGUGGACAUGUGUCUCAACUGGUUGCUGAAUGUUUAUGACACUGGUAGAACCGGGAGGAUCCGAACCCUGUCUUUGAAAACAGGAAUAAUUUCUCUCUGCAAAGCUCACCUUGAAGACAAAUACAGAUUUCUGUUUAGACAGGUGGCUAGUGCCACAGGAUUCUGUGACCAGCGACGCCUUGGCCUUCUGCUGCAUGACUCAAUCCAGAUCCCCCGGCAGCUGGGUGAGGUGGCAUCAUUUGGAGGAAGCAACAUUGAACCUAGUGUGCGCAGCUGUUUUCAGUUUGCAAAUAACAAGCCAGAACUAGAAGCAUCAGUUUUCUUAGACUGGAUGCGCUUGGAGCCUCAGUCAAUGGUCUGGCUUCCUGUACUUCAUCGUGUUUCAGCAGCAGAGACAGCCAAGCACCAGGCCAAAUGCAACAUCUGCAAGGAAUGUCCUAUUAUUGGCUUCAGGUAUAGAAGCUUAAAGCACUUUAACUAUGACAUCUGCCAGAGCUGCUUCUUUUCUGGCAGAGUGGCUAAGGGCCAUAAAAUGCAGUAUCCCAUGGUUGAAUAUUGCACUCCGACAACCUCUGGUGAAGAUGUAAGAGAUUUUGCCAAGGUGCUAAAGAACAAGUUCAGGACAAAACGUUAUUUUGCCAAACACCCCCGUAUGGGCUACCUCCCUGUGCAGACCAUUCUUGAGGGUGAUAACAUGGAAACCCCUGUUACUCUGAUUAACUUCUGGCCUGUUGACCACCUCCCAGCAUCUUCUCCACAACUGUCCUAUGAUGACACCCAUUCACGCAUUGAGCAUUAUGCUAGCAGGCUUGCUGAAAUGGAAAACAGAAAUGGCUCAUAUGUAAAUGAGAAUAUUUCUCCCAAUGAGAGCAUGGAUGAUGAGCAUCUACUGAUCCAACACUACUGCCAGAGUCUUAAUCAGGGUUCCCCUUUAAACCAUCCGCAGAGUCCAGCACAGGUCCUCAUUUCAAUGGAGACUGAAGAAAAGGGUGAACUUGAGAGAGUUCUGAGUGAUCUAGAACAGGAGAAUAGGAGGCUACAGGCAGAAUAUGAUCGACUUAAAAAGGCCCAUGACCACAAAGGGUUCUCACCCCUUCCUUCGCCACCACCAAUGCUACCUGUUUCACCCCAGAAUCGUGAUGCAGAGCUCAUUGCUGAGGCAAAACUGCUGAGACAACACAAAGGUCGCUUAGAGGCAAGAAUGCAAAUUCUGGAAGACCAUAACAAGCAGCUUGAGUCUCAGCUUAAGAGGCUUAGACAGCUACUAGAACAGGUGGUGAUGAGCUGUCCAGUGCCUUCCAGGAUCCAGGCAGUGGGCUAAUGGGAGUAACGGAGCAACUAUAUAAAUCUUUUCCUCAUGGCCAAGGAAUUGGACAGCUAAACCCAUAAAAACUAAACAGGGGAAACCUCAUCUGUAUGGUGGAUAACAUUGGAUAUGCCAUGAAAUCAUUGGUCAAUGUAAUGCCAGAGGAACAGGGUUUAGACUAACAUAUUAUGACAUAUGAAACUGUUAUAUAUUGCAUGCUUUUGUAGUGUAACAAUUGGACAGAAUAUGUUUACAAGAAAUAAAUAAAGUCUAUUUUUCUGAGUG
This is an RNA transcript of Tachysurus fulvidraco (yellow catfish), 11047 nucleotides long. It is a transcript of the gene named dystrophin, with no coding region annotated. The record is from RefSeq and is a predicted model, not a curated record. NCBI's taxonomy places the organism in Eukaryota, Metazoa, Chordata, Actinopteri, Siluriformes, Bagridae. The transcript is spliced from 78 exons.